This 1234-nucleotide ribosomal RNA is filed under the name uncultured Gallionella sp. RNAcentral's name for it is "bacterial SSU rRNA". It matches the Rfam family "Bacterial small subunit ribosomal RNA", at positions 75 to 1305 of the family's 1533-position model. Lineage: Bacteria; Pseudomonadati; Pseudomonadota; Betaproteobacteria; Nitrosomonadales; Gallionellaceae. The record is from RNAcentral.
GGGGCUUGCUCCCGAGUUAGUGGCGAACGGGUGAGUAUUAUAUCGGAACAUAUCCGGAAGUGGGGGAUAACGUAGCGAAAGUUACGCUAAUACCGCAUAUGCCCUGAGGGGGAAAGGGGGGGUUCGCAAGACCUCUCGCUUUCGGAGUGGCCGAUAUCGGAUUAGCUAGUAGGUGAGGUAAAGGCUCACCUAGGCGACGAUCCGUAGCUGGUCUGAGAGGACGACCAGCCACACNNGAACUGAGACACGGUCCAGACUCCUACGGGAGGCAGCAGUCCGGGGAAUUUUGGACAAUGGGCGAAAGCCUGAUCCAGCCAUACCGCGUGAGUGAAGAAGGCCUUCGGGUUGUAAGGCUCUUUCAGCCGGANAAGAAAUUGCUUCUAUUAAUACUAGGAGUAGAUGACGGUACCGGAAGAAGAAGCACCGGCUAACUACGUGCCAGCAGCCGCGGUAAUACGUAGGGUGCGAGCGUUAAUCGGAAUUACUGGGCGUAAAGCGUGCGCAGGCGGUAAUUUAAGCCAGAUGUGAAAUGCCCGGGCUCAACCUGGGAACUGCAUUUGGAACUGGAAGACUAGAGUGUAGCAGAGCCGGGUAGAAUUCCACGUGUAGCAGUGAAUUGCGUAGAUAUGUGGAGGAAUACCAAUGGCGAAGGCAGCCCCCUGGGUUAACACUGACGCUCAUGCACGAAAGCGUGGGUGAGCAAACAGGAUUAGAUACCCUGGUAGUCCACGCCCUAAACGAUGUCAACUAGGUGUUGGGGGAGGAGACUUCCUUAGUACCGUACCUAACGCGUGAAUUUGCCCGCCUGGGGAGUACGGUCGCAAGAUUAAAACUCAAAGGAAUUGACGGGGACCCGCACAAGCGGUGGAUAUGUGGAUUAAUUCGAUGCAACGCGAUAAACCUUACCUACCCUUGACAUGUACGGAAUUUUCCAGAGAUGGAUUAGUGCUCGAAAGAGAACCGUAACACAGGUGCUGCAUGGCUGUCGUCAGCUCGUGUCGUGAGAUGUUGGGUUAAGUCCCGCAACGAGCGCAACCCUUGUCAUUAAUUGCCAUCAUUAGUUGGGCACUUUAAUGAGACUGCCGGUGAUAAACCGGAGGAAGGUGGGGAUGACGUCAAGUCCUCAUGGCCUUAUGGGUAGGGCUUCACACGGUAAUACAAUGGCGCGUACAGAGGGUUGCCAACCCGCGAGGGAGCUAAUCUCAGAAAGCGCGUCGUAGUCCGGAUUGGAGUC